RNAcentral lists this ribosomal RNA (468 nucleotides) under uncultured bacterium. RNAcentral's name for it is "partial 16S ribosomal RNA". It matches the Rfam family "Bacterial small subunit ribosomal RNA", at positions 28 to 507 of the family's 1533-position model. The record is from RNAcentral.
GACGAACGCUGGCGGCGCGCCUAACACAUGCAAGUCGAACGGAGCUGCGAGAAGCUUGCUUUUCUUAGCUUAGUGGCGAACGGGUGAGUAACGCGUGAGUAACCUGCCCUGGAGUGGGGGACAACAGUUGGAAACGACUGCUAAUACCGCAUAAGCCCACGAUCCGGCAUCGGAUUGAGGGAAAAGGAUUUAUUCGCUUCAGGAUGGACUCGCGUCCAAUUAGCUAGUUGGUGAGGUAACGGCCCACCAAGGCGACGAUUGGUAGCCGGACUGAGAGGUUGAACGGCCACAGUGGGACUGAGACACGGCCCAGACUCCUACGGGAGGCAGCAGUGGGGGAUAUUGCACAAUGGGGGAAACCCUGAUGCAGCGACGCCGCGUGGAGGAAGAAGGUUUUCGGAUUGUAAACUCCUGUCGUUAGGGACGAUAAUGACGGUACCUAACAAGAAAGCACCGGCUAACUACGUG